GAUGAACGCUGGCGGCGUGCCUAAUACAUGCAAGUAGAACGCUGAAGGAGGAGCUUGCUUUUCUGGAUGAGUUGCGAACGGGUGAGUAACGCGUAGGUAACCUGCCUGGUAGCGGGGGAUAACUAUUGGAAACGAUAGCUAAUACCGCAUGACAACAGUUAUUGCAUGAUAACUGUUUAAAAGGGGCAACUGCUCCACUACCAGAUGGACCUGCGUUGUAUUAGCUAGUUGGUGAGGUAACGGCUCACCAAGGCGACGAUACAUAGCCGACCUGAGAGGGUGAUCGGCCACACUGGGACUGAGACACGGCCCAGACUCCUACGGGAGGCAGCAGUAGGGAAUCUUCGGCAAUGGACGGAAGUCUGACCGAGCAACGCCGCGUGAGUGAAGAAGGUUUUCGGAUCGUAAAGCUCUGUUGUAAGAGAAGAACGAGUGUGAGAGUGGAAAGUUCACACUGUGACGGUAUCUUACCAGAAAGGGACGGCUAACUACGUG
Molecule: ribosomal RNA, 495 nt
Filed under: uncultured bacterium
Lineage: Bacteria
Description: partial 16S ribosomal RNA
Rfam family: Bacterial small subunit ribosomal RNA
Source: RNAcentral